GUAUUCGUUGAGAGGAGAAACGGUUGGCAUCUCCGCUGACAGGGAUGAGAACAGUCUUCGGGCGUACAUCCGGUUAAGGCUACCCACUUCGGUGGAUCGUCACCCAAAAUUUUUU
This is a small nuclear RNA of Telopea speciosissima, 115 nucleotides long. NCBI's taxonomy places the organism in Eukaryota, Viridiplantae, Streptophyta, Magnoliopsida, Proteales, Proteaceae. The record is from RefSeq and is a predicted model, not a curated record.